CCUACGGGGGGCAGCAGUGAGGAAUAUUGGUCAAUGGGCGUAAGCCUGAACCAGCCAAGCCGCGUGAGGGAUGAAGGUUCUAGGGAUCGUAAACCUCUUUUAUAAGGGAACAAAGUGUGGGACGCGUCCUGUUCUGUAUGUACCUGAUGAAAAAGGAUCGGCUAACUCCGUGCCAGCAGCCGCGGUAAUACGGAGGAUCCGAGCGUUAUCCGGAUUUAUUGGGUUUAAAGGGUGCGGAGGCGGCCUUUUAAGUCAGCGGUGAAAGCCCGGGGCUCAACCAUCGCAUUGCGGUGGAAACUGGCAGGCUUGAGUGUGUGGGAGGUAGGCGGAAUGCGUGGUGUAGCGGUGAAAUGCUUAGAUAUCACGAAGAACCCCGAUGGCGAAGGCAGCAUGC
Molecule: ribosomal RNA, 394 nt
Filed under: uncultured bacterium
Lineage: Bacteria
Description: partial 16S ribosomal RNA
Rfam family: Bacterial small subunit ribosomal RNA
Source: RNAcentral